RNAcentral lists this ribosomal RNA (763 nucleotides) under uncultured Streptococcus sp. RNAcentral describes it as "bacterial SSU rRNA". It matches the Rfam family "Bacterial small subunit ribosomal RNA", at positions 28 to 776 of the family's 1533-position model. The record is from RNAcentral. Lineage: Bacteria; Bacillati; Bacillota; Bacilli; Lactobacillales; Streptococcaceae.
GACGAACGCUGGCGGCGUGCCUAAUACAUGCAAGUAGAACGCUGAAGGGAGAGCUUGCUCUUCUGGAUGAGUUGCGAACGGGUGAGUAACGCGUAGGUAACCUGCCUGGUAGCGGGGGAUAACUAUUGGAAACGAUAGCUAAUACCGCAUAACAGCAAAUGUUGCAUGACAUUUGCUUAAAAGGUGCAAUUGCAUCACUACCAGAUGGACCUGCGUUGUAUUAGCUAGUUGGUGGGGUAACGGCUCACCAAGGCGACGAUACAUAGCCGACCUGAGAGGGUGAUCGGCCACACUGGGACUGAGACACGGCCCAGACUCCUACGGGAGGCAGCAGUAGGGAAUCUUCGGCAAUGGACGGAAGUCUGACCGAGCAACGCCGCGUGAGUGAAGAAGGUUUUCGGAUCGUAAAGCUCUGUUGUAAGAGAAGAACAAGUGUGAGAGUGGAAAGUUCACACUGUGACGGUAUCUUACCAGAAAGGGACGGCUAACUACGUGCCAGCAGCCGCGGUAAUACGUAGGUCCCGAGCGUUGUCCGGAUUUAUUGGGCGUAAAGCGAGCGCAGGCGGUUAGAUAAGUCUGAAGUUAAGGGCUGUGGCUUAACCAUAGUACGCUUUGGAAACUGUUUAACUUGAGUGCAAGAGGGGAGAGUGGAAUUCCAUGUGUAGCGGUGAAAUGCGUAGAUAUAUGGAGGAACACCGGUGGCGAAAGCGGCUCUCUGGCUUGUAACUGACGCUGAGGCUCGAAAGCGUGGGGAGCAAACAGG